RNAcentral lists this unclassified non-coding RNA (569 nucleotides) under Gremmenia infestans. RNAcentral's name for it is "sequence contains 18S rRNA gene, ITS1, 5.8S rRNA gene, ITS2, 28S rRNA gene". The stretch from base 206 to 359 matches the Rfam family "5.8S ribosomal RNA". The record is from RNAcentral. Lineage: Eukaryota; Fungi; Ascomycota; Leotiomycetes; Helotiales; Hamatocanthoscyphaceae.
AGUCGUAACAAGGUCUCCGUAGGUGAACCUGCGGAGGGAUCAUUACAGAGAACAUCGCCCGCAAGGGUGACUCUCCAACCCCAUGUUAAUUAUACCUUUGUUGCUUUGGCGAGCCGCUUCGGCCACCGGCUCACGCUGGUGAGUGCUCGCCAGAGGACCCAAAACUCUGUUUAUACAUGUCGUCUGAGUACUAUAUAAUAGUUAAAACUUUCAACAACGGAUCUCUUGGUUCUGGCAUCGAUGAAGAACGCAGCGAAAUGCGAUAAGUAAUGUGAAUUGCAGAAUUCAGUGAAUCAUCGAAUCUUUGAACGCACAUUGCGCCCUGUGGUAUUCCGCAGGGCAUGCCUGUUCGAGCGUCAGUACAACACUCAAGCCUAGCUUGGUCUUGGGCCUCGCCGGAAACGGCGGGCCUUAAAAGUAGUGGCGGCGCCCGCUGGGCUCUAAGCGUAGUAAUACUCCUCGCUAUAGGGACCCGGUGGAUGCUGGCCAGCAACCCCCAACUUUCUAAGUUUGACCUCGGAUCAGGUAGGGAUACCCGCUGAACUUAAGCAUAUCAAUAAGCGGAGGAA